GAUGAACGCUGGCGGCGUGCCUAAUACAUGCAAGUCGAGCGAACAGACCAGGAGCUUGCUCCUCUGACGUUAGCGGCGGAAGGGUGAGUAACACGUGGAUAACCUACCUAUAAGACUUGGAUAACUUCGGGAAACCGGAGCUAAUACCGGAUAAUAUAUUUAACCGCAUGGUUCAAUAGUGAAAGACGGUUUUGCUGUCACUUAUAGAUGGAUCCGCGCCGCAUUAGCUAGUUGGUAAGGUAACGGCUUACCAAGGCAACGAUGCGUAGCCGACCUGAGAGGGUGAACGGGCACACGGGAACUGAGACACGGACCAGACUCCUAGGGGAGGCAGCAGUAGGGAAGCUGCCGCAAUGGGCGAAAGCGUGACGGAGCAACGCCGCGUGAGUGAUGAAGGUCUUCGGAUCGUAAAACUCUGUUAUUAGGGAAGAACAAAUGUGUAAGUAACUAUGCACGUCGUGACGGUACCUGAUCAGAAAGCCACGGCUAACUACGUG
This 497-nucleotide ribosomal RNA is filed under the name uncultured bacterium. RNAcentral describes it as "partial 16S ribosomal RNA". It matches the Rfam family "Bacterial small subunit ribosomal RNA", at positions 28 to 507 of the family's 1533-position model. The record is from RNAcentral.